AACUGAUACUACCUGCGGGAACCUGCGGAGGGAUCAUUAACGUGCCCCCGGGGGCGCCGGCGGUCCCCGGAACUCCGGGGCCGGCCGGGCGUCCCUAAGGCCCAUCCGUGUUUACUUUACCUGUUGCCUCGGCGGGCUCCCGGGUGUUGCUUCGGCACGCUCCGGGGUCCCGCCCGCCGAAGGCCCCCCCGAACCUCUGGUGAACGUUGGCGGUCUGAGUGGGCUUGUAAAUCGUUAAAA
Molecule: unclassified non-coding RNA, 240 nt
Filed under: soil metagenome
Description: partial contains 5.8S ribosomal RNA, internal transcribed spacer 2, and large subunit ribosomal RNA
Source: RNAcentral